RNAcentral lists this ribosomal RNA (241 nucleotides) under Pediococcus pentosaceus. RNAcentral's name for it is "partial 16S ribosomal RNA". It matches the Rfam family "Bacterial small subunit ribosomal RNA", at positions 93 to 329 of the family's 1533-position model. Lineage: Bacteria; Bacillati; Bacillota; Bacilli; Lactobacillales; Lactobacillaceae. The record is from RNAcentral.
GAGUGGCGAACGGGUGAGUAACACGUGGGUAACCUGCCCAGAAGUAGGGGAUAACACCUGGAAACAGAUGCUAAUACCGUAUAACAGAGAAAACCGCAUGGUUUUCUUUUAAAAGAUGGCUCUGCUAUCACUUCUGGAUGGACCCGCGGCGUAUUAGCUAGUUGGUGAGGUAAAGGCUCCCAAGGCAGUGAUACGUAGCCGACCUGAGAGGGUAAUCGGCCACAUUGGGACUGAGACACGG